GACGAACGCUGGCGGCGUGCCUAAUACAUGCAAGUAGAACACUGAAGGAGGAGCUUGCUCUUCUGGAUGAGUUGCGAACGGGUGAGUAACGCGUAGGUAACCUGCCUGGUAGCGGGGGAUAACUAUUGGAAACGAUAGCUAAUACCGCAUAACAGUAGAUGUUGCAUGACAUUUACUUAAAAGGUGCAAUUGCAUCACUACCAGAUGGACCUGCGUUGUAUUAGCUAGUUGGUGGGGUAACGGCUCACCAAGGCGACGAUACAUAGCCGACCUGAGAGGGUGAUCGGCCACACUGAGACUGAGACACGGCCCAGACUCCUACGGGAGGCAGCAGUAGGGAAUCUUCGGCAAUGGACGGAAGUCUGACCGAGCAACGCCGCGUGAGUGAAGAAGGUUUUCGGAUCGUAAAGCUCUGUUGUAAGAGAAGAACGAGUGUGAGAGUGGAAAGUUCACACUGUGACGGUAUCUUACCAGAAAGGGACGGCUAACUACGUG
RNAcentral lists this ribosomal RNA (495 nucleotides) under uncultured bacterium. RNAcentral's name for it is "partial 16S ribosomal RNA". It matches the Rfam family "Bacterial small subunit ribosomal RNA", at positions 28 to 507 of the family's 1533-position model. The record is from RNAcentral.